UUAAAGAGUUCUAUAACUCCCAAACCCAUGUGAACAUACCUAACGUUGCCUCGGCAGGUCGCACCUACCUUGUAGCACCCUACCCUGUAGGGCCUACCCGGGAGGUGCGGGUAAGCCUGCCGGCGGCCCACCAAACUCUGUUUGAUAUUGAAUUCUGAACCUAUAACUAAAUAAGUUAAAACUUUCAACAACGGAUCUCUUGGUUCUGGCAUCGAUGAAGAACGCAGCGAAAUGCGAUAAGUAAUGUGAAUUGCAGAAUUCAGUGAAUCAUCGAAUCUUUGAACGCAUAUUGCGCCCAUUAGUAUUCUAGUGGGCAGGACCGUUCGAGCGUCAUUUCAACCCUUAAGCCUUCGUUGCUUAGUGUUGGGAGCCUACGGCAACGUAGCUCCUCAAAGUUAGUGGCGGAGUUGGUUCACACUCUAGACGUAGUAAUUUUUUAUCUCGCCUAUUAGUUGGACUAAUCCCCUGCCGUAAAACCCCUAAUUUAUCAAGGUUGACCUCGAAUCGGUUCAGACAAACUCGCUAAAUUGAAGCAUCUUAGUCAGCGAAGGAAAAGAAACCAACAGGGAUUGCCCUAGUAACGGCGAGUGAAGCGG
This 596-nucleotide ribosomal RNA is filed under the name fungal endophyte. RNAcentral's name for it is "eukaryotic LSU rRNA". The stretch from base 180 to 333 matches the Rfam family "5.8S ribosomal RNA". Lineage: Eukaryota; Fungi. The record is from RNAcentral.